Molecule: unclassified non-coding RNA, 355 nt
Filed under: soil metagenome
Description: partial contains 5.8S ribosomal RNA, internal transcribed spacer 2, and large subunit ribosomal RNA
Rfam family: 5.8S ribosomal RNA (bases 1-120)
Source: RNAcentral
GAUGAAGAACGUAGCGAAAUGCGAUAAGUAAUGUGAAUUGCAGAAUUCAGUGAAUCAUCGAAUCUUUGAACGCACAUUGCGCCCAUUAGUAUUCUAGUGGGCAUGCCUGUUCGAGCGUCAUUAAGUCCACUUAAGCCCUGCUUAGUGUUGGGAGACUGCUCCAGCGGUGCUACCCUGUAGCUACCCUGCAGCACCUCAAAGACAGCGGCGGAGUUGUGGUAUCCUCUGAGCUUAGUAACUUGUUCUAGCUUUCGAGUACACCACUUCCCCUGCCGUAAAACCCUUAAUUUUUAAUGGUUGACCUCGGAUCAGGUAGGAAUACCCGCUGAACUUAAGCAUAUCAAUAAGCGGAGGA